AUGUGACAUUGCAUUGGAUGUGGAGAGCUAUUGUAUCACUAGUAGUAACCCCUAAUGCACUGAUGGAAUUUCAAUAGCAAAAUAUAAUGAAAAAUAAAAGUCAAUAACAAAAAUCCAUUACCUGAUAUUCAACCGAUGAUCAAACCUCCCACUCAAAUAAUGCAUCAUGGGUGCUGGAUGGUUGUUGUAUACCUAAUAGUAACCCCCCAA
Molecule: long non-coding RNA, 210 nt
Filed under: Elaeis guineensis (African oil palm)
Lineage: Eukaryota; Viridiplantae; Streptophyta; Magnoliopsida; Arecales; Arecaceae
Description: long non-coding RNA (EGUI_LNC034358)
Source: RNAcentral